AACGAACGCUGGCGGCGUGCCUAACACAUGCAAGUCGAGCGAGAAAGCCCGCAAGGGUGAGUAAAGCGGCGCACGGGUGCGUAACACGUGGGUAAUCUGCCCUAGAGUCCGGAAUAACUCGCCGAAAGGCGUGCUAAUGCCGGAUGAGACCACGGGAGCUUCGGCUCCUGCGGGAAAAGGUGGCCUCUGUACACAAGCUAUCGCUCUAGGAUGAGCCCGCGGCCCAUCAGCUCGUUGGCGGGGUAAUGGCCCACCAAGGCAACGACGGGUAGCUGGUCUGAGAGGACGAUCAGCCACACUGGAACUGAGACACGGUCCAGACUCCUACGGGAGGCAGCAGUGGGGAAUCUUGCGCAAUGGGCGAAAGCCUGACGCAGCAACGCCGCGUGUGUGAUGAAGGUCUUCGGAUCGUAAAGCACUGUCGCGAGGGACGAAUAAGGGACGGGCGAACAGUCCGUCACGAUGACGGUACCUCGAGAGGAAGCACCGGCUAACUCUGUGCCAGCAGCCGCGGUAAUACAGAGGGUGCGAGCGUUGUUCGGAAUUAUUGGGCGUAAAGCGCGUGUAGGCGGCCUAGCAAGUCGGAUGUGAAAGCCCUCGGCUUAACCGAGGAAGUGCGUUCGAAACUACUGGGCUUGAGUACCGGAGAGGGUGGCGGAAUUCCCGGUGUAGAGGUGAAAUUCGUAGAUAUCGGGAGGAACACCAGUGGCGAAGGCGGCCACCUGGACGGAUACUGACGCUGAGACGCGAAAGCGUGGGUAGCAAACAGGAUUAGAUACCCUGGUAGUCCACGCUGUAAACGAUGAGCGCUAGGUGUUGCGGGUGUUGACCCCUGCAGUGCCGCAGCUAACGCAUUAAGCGCUCCGCCUGGGAAGUACGGCCGCAAGGCUAA
RNAcentral lists this ribosomal RNA (892 nucleotides) under uncultured Anaeromyxobacter sp. Its description in RNAcentral is "bacterial SSU rRNA". It matches the Rfam family "Bacterial small subunit ribosomal RNA", at positions 28 to 897 of the family's 1533-position model. Lineage: Bacteria; Pseudomonadati; Myxococcota; Myxococcia; Myxococcales; Anaeromyxobacteraceae. The record is from RNAcentral.